GAUGAACGCUGGCGGCGUGCUUAACACAUGCAAGUCGAACGGAACUGUUUGAAUGAAGUUUUCGGAUGGAUUUUAAACAGUUUAGUGGCGGACGGGUGAGUAACGCGUGGGUAACCUGCCUCACACUGGGGGAUAACAGUUAGAAAUAGCUGCUAAUACCGCAUAAGCGCACGGCUCCGCAUGGAGCAGUGUGAAAAACUCCGGUGGUAUAAGAUGGACCCGCGUCUGAUUAGCUGGUUGGUGGGGUAACGGCCCACCAAGGCGACGAUCAGUAGCCGGCCUGAGAGGGUGAACGGCCACAUUGGGACUGAGACACGGCCCAG
RNAcentral lists this ribosomal RNA (323 nucleotides) under uncultured bacterium. Its description in RNAcentral is "bacterial SSU rRNA". It matches the Rfam family "Bacterial small subunit ribosomal RNA", at positions 28 to 334 of the family's 1533-position model. The record is from RNAcentral.